UAAGUUGUCAGCAUGUCUAUUGUUGGCAUCUU
Molecule: non-coding RNA, 32 nt
Filed under: Rattus norvegicus (Norway rat)
Lineage: Eukaryota; Metazoa; Chordata; Mammalia; Rodentia; Muridae
Source: RNAcentral